Long non-coding RNA from Orcinus orca (killer whale), 152 nucleotides. RefSeq lists it as uncharacterized. The record is from RefSeq and is a predicted model, not a curated record. The transcript is spliced from 3 exons. Lineage: Eukaryota; Metazoa; Chordata; Mammalia; Artiodactyla; Delphinidae.
CCUUCACCACCACCCUGUGACGCUUGUGGAUAGAUGGGGACUUACGCAUUUUUCACUGGCGUGUUAGCACUUAUAUUAAAAUAAUGCUUUAUUAUAAAACAUUCGAAAUAACAUCACAAGAAGACAAAGUAUCCAAAAUGAAAUUGCUGGAC